This 468-nucleotide ribosomal RNA is filed under the name uncultured bacterium. Its description in RNAcentral is "partial 16S ribosomal RNA". It matches the Rfam family "Bacterial small subunit ribosomal RNA", at positions 28 to 507 of the family's 1533-position model. The record is from RNAcentral.
GACGAACGCUGGCGGCGUGCUUAACACAUGCAAGUCGAACGGAAAGGCCCUGCUUUUGUGGGGUGCUCGAGUGGCGAACGGGUGAGUAACACGUGAGUAACCUGCCCUUGACUUUGGGAUAACUUCAGGAAACUGGGGCUAAUACCGGAUAGGAGCUCCUGCUGCAUGGGGGGGGUUGGAAAGUUUCGGCGGUGGGGGAUGGACUCGCGGCUUAUCAGCUUGUUGGUGGGGUAGUGGCUUACCAAGGCUUUGACGGGUAGCCGGCCUGAGAGGGUGACCGGCCACAUUGGGACUGAGAUACGGCCCAGACUCCUACGGGAGGCAGCAGUGGGGAAUAUUGCACAAUGGGCGGAAGCCUGAUGCAGCAACGCCGCGUGCGGGAUGACGGCCUUCGGGUUGUAAACCGCUUUCGCCUGUGACGAAGCGUGAGUGACGGUAAUGGGUAAAGAAGCACCGGCUAACUACGUG